This 497-nucleotide ribosomal RNA is filed under the name uncultured bacterium. RNAcentral describes it as "partial 16S ribosomal RNA". It matches the Rfam family "Bacterial small subunit ribosomal RNA", at positions 28 to 507 of the family's 1533-position model. The record is from RNAcentral.
GAUGAACGCUGGCGGCGUGCCUAAUACAUGCAAGUCGAGCGAACGGACGAGAAGCUUGCUUCUCUGAUGUUGGCGGCGGACGGGUGAGUAACACGUGGAUAACCUACCUAUAAGACUGGGAUAACUUCGGGAAACCGGAGCUAAUACCGGAUAAUAUUUUGAACCGCAUGGUUCAAAAGUGAAAGACGGUCUUGCUGUCACUUAUAGAUGGAUCCGCGCUGCAUUAGCUAGUUGGUAAGGUAACGGCUUACCAAGGCAACGAUGCAUAGCCGACCUGAGAGGGUGAUCGGCCACACUGGAACUGAGACACGGUCUAGACUCCUACGGGAGGCAGCAGUAGGGAAUCUUCCGCAAUGGGCGAAAGCCUGACGGAGCAACGCCGCGUGAGUGAUGAAGGUCUUCGGAUCGUAAAACUCUGUUAUUAGGGAAGAACAUAUGUGUAAGUAACUGUGCACAUCUUGACGGUACCUAAUCAGAAAGCCACGGCUAACUACGUG